This 495-nucleotide ribosomal RNA is filed under the name uncultured bacterium. RNAcentral's name for it is "partial 16S ribosomal RNA". It matches the Rfam family "Bacterial small subunit ribosomal RNA", at positions 28 to 507 of the family's 1533-position model. The record is from RNAcentral.
GACGAACGCUGGCGGCGUGCCUAAUACAUGCAAGUAGAACGCUGAAGGAGGAGCUUGCUUCUCUGGAUGAGUUGCGAACGGGUGAGUAACGCGUAGGUAACCUGCCUGGUAGUGGGGGAGAACUAUUGGAAACGAUAGCUAAUACCGCAUAAUAGCAGUUGUUGCAUGAUAACUGUUUGAAAGGUGCAAUUGCACCGCUACCAGAUGGACCUGCGUUGUAUUAGCUAGUUGGUGGGGUAACGGCUCACCAAGGCGACGAUACAUAGCCGGCCUGAGAGGGGGAUCGGCCACACUGGGACUGGGACACGGCCCAGACGCCUAAGGGAGGCAGCAGUAGGGAAUCUUCGGCAAUGGACGGAAGUCUGACCGAGCAACGCCGCGUGAGUGAAGAAGGGUUUCGGAUCGUAAAGAUCUGUUGUAAGAGAAGAAAGAGUGUGAGAGUGGAAAGUUCACACUGUGACGGUAUCUUACCAGAAAGGGACGGCUAACUACGUG